This 5219-nucleotide long non-coding RNA is filed under the name Mus musculus (house mouse). RNAcentral describes it as "long non-coding RNA chr16:31760965-31766184". Lineage: Eukaryota; Metazoa; Chordata; Mammalia; Rodentia; Muridae. The record is from RNAcentral.
AUUGUCAAAACCUAGUAGCAAGUAAGAUGUACUUCAGUAGGUGAUUAGAUACACUUCUGACAGUGGAAUAGUAUCUAGCAGUAAAAAAGAUUAAGCCACAUGGGAGGAAACUGUUUCCUACUAAGUGAAGAGAAAACGAUCUGAAGAGGCUUUAUUCAUAUUAUCCCAACCCUGUGACAUUUGGGGAAGGAAGUCAAAAAGAAAAAAUGUGGGAUUCCUAGGAUUUUAAGAGGAGAGUGAAACUAUUCUGUAUGAUUCUGUAAUUUCAGAUACAUGCCAUCACACACUUGGAAAACCAUAGACUCUCCAACAGCAAAAGUGAACCCAGCAUAGACUAGACUCUGAUAAUGGUGGGUUGGUAUAGGUUCAUCUGUUGUAACAAAUAUACCACUCUGGUGCAGGGGGUUGAGUGGGUGACUGUACACAUAUGUGGGCCGAGGGCAUGCAGGGACUUGCUGUACUCAACAUUCAGUUUUCUGUGAACCUAAAUCUGGUCUGAAAAUUAAAUUCUAUUAAAAAAUACAAACUUGCUAUCUUAAAUUUAGAUUGGCUUAGUCUGGAGAACUAAAUAGGAAAAUUUUUAUGUAAGUUUUCAUCUGUGCAGCUUCUAUAUAAUGUCUUGAUAUAGUUGGCCCUUCUGUCAAGGACAAAUAGGCUAAGAGAAAUACAUUUCACAUUUACGUAUUUUAAUAUAUAUUCUAGGAAAUUUUAAAAGUUAACUUUUAAAGUAAAAUUUAAAGUAAACUUCUGGAAAAGGGUGGAGCCACAUAUCUGAAUUUUUCAGGCUUCUUGAGCUUCCAUUUGGGCUCCUCUGUUUAGUAUCAAGUAGUGUUUCUCUUCUGAGAUUUAGACUGCAGGCUUCUUAGCACAGUUUUGUUCUCUGUCAUCUGCUGAACUAUAAGCUUCAUAGGGCUGGUCCUAUAAAGAUGUUCAGUUUCUUUUAUAUUCCUAGAGCCUAGCAUAGUGAAUGCCUUGAUAAAUAUUAGUUGAAUAAUACAUAAAUUAAUUAAUAAAUAAAUGAAGGUGCUUAUCUCCAUUUAACAUAAUUGUUGCAAGGAGCUUCUCAAUAUGAUUUGAUCAUUAUUAUUUUCACAAACUUUAUGUAGAACUAUAGCUUAAAAAUUGGCACAUCUACACCGAAGGUUUUGUAAGAUAAAGUGUGUACAUUGCCAAAGUACUUGAAAUUCUCUGAGGGAAAAAAAUGUGUGUGUGGAACCAACACUCAAGAGCACUGGCUAGCUGGCAGUGGUAGGGCACUUCCCAGCAUUUGAGGGACAGAAGUAGGCAGACCUCUGAUUUUGAAGCCAGCCUGGUCCACAUUACAAGUUCCAGGGUAGCCAGGGCUACACAGAGAGACCCUGUCUCAAAAGACAAAAAAGCAACACCAUGAAAAGACCUAGCACCAGGCACACACACGUGGUGCGCUAAUACGCACAAAAGCAGGACACUUGCACAUGUACACUGAAAUGGAUAAAGAAGAAGUAUAUGAGGUGUUAUACUCUACAUAUGGUAAACUUAAAUUUGUAUCACUAAAACACAUUUUAAAAGAUCUUUUGCAAUAUUAUAAUCCCCAACAAUGUUAUUAUAUAAUUUCAGAAUUUUGAGAAAGGUAAAAAUAAUUGUUCAGAUCAUGUAGAAAACAGUAGUCUAUAAUUACCAAUUUGUUUAAGAAACUUUUAAAUAUACCCACUGAUAAUGAUCAUUUAACAGUGACAUAGAAAUUAAUGAACAGAAAUGGUGGUCCUAUCUUAUGGAUGGUUACAUAAUUGGCCAUCAUAUCUGACAGCGGGGGAUUUUAUUUUUAUUUUUUGUUUUUUUGAGACAGGGCUUCUCUGUAUAGCCUUGGCUGUUGGAUUUUAUUUUUUAAGUGAAUGAGUGUGUACACAUGCCAUGUGUGUUCAGGUCACUGUGAAGGCCUGCAGAGGAUGUUGGAUAACAUGGAACUGGAGUUCCUUCACAUUGUGAGCUGUGUGAUGUGGAUGCUGGGAACUAACCCCUCCCCCAGGCCUGGAAGGAGCAGCCAGUGCUCUUUACUACAAACCAGUUCUUCAAACAUAGAGCUAGAAUUUUAUAAGGAAUCCUAGUGCUCUUAAAAGACAUUGCCACUAUAUUCAUCUUUAGCAGAGAUGGCUCAAAAGUUAGGAGCAUGGCUACUCUUUCAGAGGACCCAGGUUUAAUUCCCAGCACCCACAUGGCAGUCACAACCGUCUGUAAUUCCAUUUGCAAGGGAUCCAGUGCACUCUUCUGGCCUCCUUGGGCAUGAGGCUUCCAAGUGGUAUGUAAACAUAUAUGCUUAGGUAAAAGACCUGUAGGCAUGAAAUAAAAGAAAAAUUAUUUAAAACAUUUUUUGUCAAGUACCAAGUUGUUUGCAUUUCUGAACAGGUUUUUGGUUUUGUGUAUCAUAUUUGUGAGACUUGGUCUAUUAGUUUAGCCGUGUAGCUGUGAAAACAUAAUGAUCAUUGUACAGUACAAGUUUCUUAAGUGGUUUUCAGAAAAUAACUAGUGAUUAUAAUCUGGAAUUUAAAUUAAAAUGGAUCCUUUUUUGAUUUUUGUAUACUCUGACUAUUCUUUGUAAAACCAUCUACUAUAAUAAAAGAUUGUAAACUUGAAAUUGUUUUAAGAGUAUUGGAAAACGAGUGUGAGACUUAUCAGUGGGGUGCUAUAUAUUACCUUCACUGCUAGUGACUGCAGUCAGUAAGGAUCAUGUACGGACAGUGCUUCUGACUUCAGUAGCAGCCUCAGGGUCUUGAGUCACCAUUCAGCACAGACAUAAUAUGGCUACCACCGUUAUUAGCACUUCCACAAAAUACUGUGGGAUUGGAAGUAAGGAGUUUGAAGGAAUUGAUAUAAUUGUAGAGUAAAAAAGAAUUCUGUCCUAAUUUUUAAAAAAAUUAAGGAAAACAGGUAGAUUUUUAACCUUAACAGGGUCAAGCCAAGAGCAAAAAGCAAAACCCACAAUAAUUAUUCCAAGAGAGAACGCAACAGAAGAUUAUCUGAACAAGUAUCAGAGCUGGGCAUGGUGGUGCAUGCCUUUAGUCCCAGCACUCCUGAGACAGAGACAGGAGAUGUCUUUAAUUUGAAGCCAGUCUAAUCUACCUAGAGCAUUAUAGGCCAUCUAGGGUUCAAUAGUGAGAUAUGUCUCAAAUAAGAGAAAAAUAAACAAAACAAUAACAACAAAAAUUGUACUAGAGAACUAAAAGGUCUAAAUUGGAAUAUCACAGUAAAGUGGAGAGUAACAGUGAGAAACACUAUCUAAGAGAAUAGGUGUGUGGACCCAACCAUGCAGAAAGAACCUAUAGUUGGUGUCUGUUCUAAGUACAACACUACAGGGAACAAGACUAAGAAGAGCAUGUAUUCAAAAUCCAUUUCAUAGUCUGUGUUGGUAGUCACAGUUUUAUUCAUCCCACACACAUAGCUUCCUGCGAUGAUGAACAUAAAGAAAAAACUUAAACAGAAAUCUUUGCUUUUGUCAACCUCAUAUCAUAAUAGAAGACAAUAUAAUUACAAAAAAUAUGGUAUUCUGAAAGAAAAGUUAGGAGGAAAAGAAGAAAGAUAUGUGGGUAGGUAAUAAAAUUGCUGAUGGAGCCUUUGAUUCAAAAGUGAUCAUUUGAGUAAAGACAGGAAAAAUUCCUAGACUUGAGCUGUCUAAGCAAGAGUAUUCUUGGAAGAAAGGUAACUAGCAAGUGGGAAGGUAUGGAGUAGCAGAUCAAUGUAGCUGAAGCAGUAAGUAGAGGGAGAAUGUAAGAUCACUAGCAGAGCCUGAGCCACUGGGCACUUAGAGAGGAGUGAUGAGAACAGAGCAGCUGCCAUUGCUACGGAAGCAUUACGGGAGCCUACUGUGGCUUAAUAGUUGAUGAAGUCCUUGGUGAUGCAUGUUUAUCUAGCCAGUUCUGAGAAUAUCAAUGAUAAAGGCAUAAUACAAUUGAUAACAUCCUCCCUGUGUUAAUUAUAUAACCAUAUCUUUAAAUUCAGUCUUUAAGGCUCUGUUUUUAAGUUUGUAGUGAGUGAGUCAUCCUUUUUUGAGGCUGUUAGCUGAAUGCUAAUAUAAAUACCAUCUUUCCAUAAGGAAGAGAGCAGAAACCUUAAUUUUAUGAAUUUUCAACUGAAAAUAAUAGAUUCAUGAGCUAACUUGUCUGUGUAAACUAUAAACAGUUUCGCAUCUAUGCUUCUAAAGUAGAAUUAAUUACUAGAUCUAUUUUCCUAUUUCCCACAGCUAUUUUAAGUUUUUAAAAAAUAUUUGCAUUUUGAUACUUUUUGUGUUUUAUUUAAAAAUAAGCUUGAUUUUUAUACACUCUUCUGAGACAUUGGCAUGGAUGUCAUACAUGGUUGAAAUACUUUUUUUUUUAGCUAAACAAGUUUAUAUUAAAGAUGUAAUGUGUUUGUAGUGACGGUGGCAAAGGGCGUAUGAAUCAUAAGAAAAAUAUUAAACCAUGAAAAAUACCUUUUGUCCUGUGAUAUUGAUCCUCUCUUGAAUACAGUAAUUCCCAAGUGGAGUUUGUAUAAAAAUCGACUUUGCUAUAUUUUAUCCUCUGCAAACAUUCAAAGGCUUGCAGGUUUUGCCUGGUUUCUUUUUUUUUCUUUUAAAUAGCCGCUUUGACAUUUAAUCAGAAGCAUGCCUCAUUAUGGCAUAGUAGAUCUUUAAACAAAGGACCAAGGAACCUGGAUUAAGAAUUCUAACCAUGUGUGUACAAAGUCAGGCUCUUUAGUCACCAGCAGUAGCCUGGAUGGUUACUUUGGUUGCCUAAGAUACUGGUACCAAAAAAUUUGUUAAUUCAUAUAUUUCACUUUUCCUUGAAAAUGCAGUAUAUUUUUAGACAUUGGGUUUUGUUUUUUGUUUUGUUUUGAUUUGAUUAGUCUUAAGUUCAUUUUACUGAGUAUAAGAAGCAUGUUAAUAUAAAAUGUAAACAUUAGCUUCUUGGUAUUGUAGUUUUAUUUAUCUUGUCAGUUUUACAUUCUGAAAAUCAUUUUUUGUUAUUUUAUCUCUUGAUUUUAUUUUACUUAUUUAUUUUUUCCGAGACAGGGUUUCUCUGUGUAGCCCUGGCUGUCCUGGAACUCACUCUGUAGACCAGGCUGGCCACUACCACCCGGCUUUGAUUUUAUGUUUUAUCUUUUGAUUACAGGAGACUAAGUUUUAAACCCAAGGCUUCAUGCUUGUUAAGCGAGUAUUAAACCACUGAGCAAAUCUCUUCCAGUCCUGAAAGUCUUAAUAAAUAAUUAGC